This is a non-coding RNA of Triticum aestivum (bread wheat), 130 nucleotides long. Lineage: Eukaryota; Viridiplantae; Streptophyta; Magnoliopsida; Poales; Poaceae. The record is from Rfam.
AAAGUAAUCCCUCCGUCCCAAAAUUCUUGUCUUAUAUUUGUCUAGAUACGGAAGUAUAAUAAAAUGUGACUUGAUACAUCCGUAUCUAGACAAAUCUAAGACAAGAAUUUUGGGACAGAGGGAGUAGUUG